CUGCACUGCUUUUUUAAAGAAAGAAUGGGUUAUUAUGCACAUGUAGGAUUUACUUAGGAAACCUGGGCAUUGUUUCUGUGGAGUGUUUCAGAUGUGUCCUUGUUGCUAAUUAGGAAAGCAAGAACAAUAUCUUCAGAUGAUCUGAAAUCCUCUGGCUGGUGCGGCAGUUCCUUUAGGAGAUGAAGGAGUCAAGUGUGGAGUAGUCAUUCUUACCCUGUGUGGAUGCCAAUGACACCUGAACCAUGAUGCCUUCAAUGCUUUGAAAAUGCCUGAGAGUCCUAAGGAGCAAGCAGGAAUUGGCAUCUCCUGUUUACACGUGGGAAAACAGAGGUUGCACCUGCUCUCCAGGAUACUACCCAGGGGUAAACAUAAAGAAGGCAAAAAGCCAGCAACACACGUGCAGUUCCCACGGGAAAUGCAGGCAGGUAUUUCUCUACGUGCGGUAAAAUGCCAGGUUCUGGGUGUCUGCUCUGUCCCUUUGCUAGGAUGA
This 490-nucleotide long non-coding RNA is filed under the name Apteryx owenii (little spotted kiwi). RNAcentral's name for it is "lncRNA (ENSAOWG00000001137.1)". The record is from RNAcentral. Lineage: Eukaryota; Metazoa; Chordata; Aves; Apterygiformes; Apterygidae.